This 301-nucleotide ribosomal RNA is filed under the name uncultured bacterium. Its description in RNAcentral is "partial 16S ribosomal RNA". It matches the Rfam family "Bacterial small subunit ribosomal RNA", at positions 509 to 807 of the family's 1533-position model. The record is from RNAcentral.
CAGCCGCCGCGGUAAUACGUAGGUGGCAAGCGUUGUCCGGAAUUAUUGGGCGUAAAGCGCGCGCAGGUGGUUUAAUAAGUCUGAUGUGAAAGCCCACGGCUCAACCGUGGAGGGUCAUUGGAAACUGUUAAACUUGAGUGCAGGAGAGAAAAGUGGAAUUCCUAGUGUAGCGGUGAAAUGCGUAGAGAUUAGGAGGAACACCAGUGGCGAAGGCGGCUUUUUGGCCUGUAACUGACACUGAGGCGCGAAAGCGUGGGGAGCAAACAGGAUUAGAGACCCCUGUAGUCCCUGUCUCUUAUAC